RNAcentral lists this ribosomal RNA (332 nucleotides) under uncultured bacterium. RNAcentral's name for it is "bacterial SSU rRNA". It matches the Rfam family "Bacterial small subunit ribosomal RNA", at positions 568 to 898 of the family's 1533-position model. The record is from RNAcentral.
UCCGUAGGCGGUGCGGCAAGUCGGAAGUGAAAUCUCCAGGGCUUAACCCUGAGGCUGCUUCCGAAACUGCCGUGCUCGAGUGCGAGAGAGGCGAGUGGAAUUGCAGGUGUAGCGGUGAAAUGCGUAGAUAUCUGCAGGAACAUCCGAGGCGAAAGCGGCUCGCUGGAUCGCAACUGACGCUGAGGGACGAAAGCUAGGGGAGCAAACAGGAUUAGAUACCCUGGUAGUCCUAGCCCUAAACGAUCAGGACUGGGCGUGGGCCUCGUACGGGGCUCGUGCCGCAGGCUAACGCGUUAAGUCCUGCGCCUGGGGAGUACGGUCGCAAGGCUGAA